ACUCCAGCACUUUGUGUCUUUUUGUGUAUUAACCAGCAUAUGCGAUUCCUUGUUUCUACUGUCUGUCUAAAAGUCUCUUAAAUACCACUAUACAGCCCCCGGCAGAGUGUUGCAGGCCCCACACACUCCCACUAUAAACAGGCCUCUUCAGCAGCAUAGUCCUGCCGUCCUCAUUGUGAGGAGACAACGGUGCCUUCAGGGGAAGAAUGGGACGAUAACUUCUCUCAACAUGACGGCCUAAAGAUUGUCGAGGACAAGCUGAACAAACAAUGGGUGGUGAGCAGAGCAACGAGCCCAGCAGAGAGACCCUGAGAGAAGAGACUGCAGGAGAGGGAGAGGGAGAGGGGGCAGCAGCACGGCCCAGCCAGUCCGAGCCAGCGGACGGAGCCAGCGUUCCCCAGACACACAUGGCCAACAAGACCGUUGACGACAUGGCCUUCAUGGUGGCCUGCACCAACUGGUACUGAGAAACGGUGACCUGCAGAGGCCAUGGGCCACUUUCACCUUAACGCCACACACGCCCUUUGCGAGUCCGCAUCCUCAUAUUUCUGUUAAUAAAGGGGGAGCGUUGUCAUCAA
Molecule: long non-coding RNA, 578 nt
Organism: Amblyraja radiata (thorny skate)
Lineage: Eukaryota; Metazoa; Chordata; Chondrichthyes; Rajiformes; Rajidae
Exons: 2
Source: RefSeq, a predicted model, not a curated record